Molecule: ribosomal RNA, 251 nt
Filed under: uncultured prokaryote
Description: partial 16S rRNA
Rfam family: Bacterial small subunit ribosomal RNA
Source: RNAcentral
ACGGAGGGUCCAAGCGUUAAUCGGAAUUACUGGGCGUAAAGCGUGCGCAGGCGGAUGCGCAAGACAGCUGUGAAAGCCCCGGGCUUAACCUGGGAAAUGCAUUGGUGAUUGCACGACUUGAGUGUGUAAGAGGGGGGUAGAAUUCCACGUGGAGCAGUGAAAUGCGUAGAGAUGUGGCGGAAGACCGAUGGCGAAGGCAGCUUCCUGGGCUAACACUGACGCUCAUGCACGAAAGCGUGGGGAGCAAACAG